Molecule: ribosomal RNA, 253 nt
Filed under: uncultured bacterium
Lineage: Bacteria
Description: partial 16S ribosomal RNA
Rfam family: Bacterial small subunit ribosomal RNA
Source: RNAcentral
UACAGAGGUCUCAAGCGUUGUUCGGAUUCAUUGGGCGUAAAGGGUGCGUAGGCGGUGCGGAAAGUCGGGUGUGAAAUCCCCCAGCUCAACUGGGGAAUUGCGCCUGAAACUACCGUGCUCGAGGAAGACAGAGGUACGCGGAACUUAGGGUGGAGCGGUGAAAUGCGUUGAUAUCCUAAGGAACACCGGUGGCGAAAGCGGCGUACUGGGUCUUAUCUGACGCUGAGGCACGAAAGCUAGGGUAGCGAACGGG